This 436-nucleotide long non-coding RNA is filed under the name Brassica rapa (field mustard). RNAcentral's name for it is "long non-coding RNA (BRAP_LNC002150)". The record is from RNAcentral. Lineage: Eukaryota; Viridiplantae; Streptophyta; Magnoliopsida; Brassicales; Brassicaceae.
AAUCGUCGUAAAGACCUCGUAAGGUAAAUUGACGUAAAUACCACGUAAAGUAAAUGACGAAGGAGGCACUCUUUAAUUCCACGUAGGAUGAUUUCGUCGUAAACACCUCGUAAGGCCACGAGGAUUUUACGACGAAAUUAAAAAAGCGGGGCACGCUAAUUCCACGUAAGCCAGAAUCGUCGUAAAAGAGUCGUAAACUAACGACGAUAUUACGACGAAAAUAUUAAAAAUACUAAAAAAAAGAAGAGAAGAAAGAUGCUUGAAUCACAUUUGGCGAGACUUACGUAAGUCUCGACCACAUGAGUUCCAAAUAUCUUCUUCUCUUCUUUUUUUUCCAAAUUUUCUAAAUUGGUGAAAAGCGGGACUUGCUACUUCCUCAUAGUAUAAAAACUAGAAAAAAAAGAAAAAAAGAAAGAUACUAGAAUUAUAUGUGGCG